AUUGAACGCUGGCGGCAUGCCUUACACAUGCAAAUCGAACGGUAACGGGCCUUCGGGUGCCGACGAGUGGCGCACGGGUGCGUAAUACAUCGGAACGUGCCCGAUCGUGGGGGAUAACGAGGCGAAAGCUUUGCUAAUACCGCAUACGAUCUACGGAUGAAAGCAGGGGACCGCAAGACCUUGCGCGGACGGAGCGGCCGAUGGCAGAUUAGGUAGUUGGUGGGAUAAAAGCUUACCAAGCCGACGAUCUGUAGCUGGUCUGAGAGGAUGAUCAGCCACACUGGGACUGAGACACGGCCCAGACUCCUACGGGAGGCAGCAGUGGGGAAUUUUGGACAAUGGGCGCAAGCCUGAUCCAGCCAUGCCGCGUGCAGGAUGAAGGCCUUCGGGUUGUAAACUGAUUUUGUACGGAACGAAAAGCCUUCUUUUAAUACAGGAGGGUCAUGACGGUACCGUAAGAAUAAGCACCGGCUAACUACGUG
Molecule: ribosomal RNA, 482 nt
Filed under: uncultured bacterium
Lineage: Bacteria
Description: partial 16S ribosomal RNA
Rfam family: Bacterial small subunit ribosomal RNA
Source: RNAcentral